CAAGAAACCGGCACUAAUACACCGGAUCCCAUCAGAACUCCGCAGUUAAGCGUGAUUGGACGAGAGUAGUACUAGAAUGGGUGACCUCCCGGGAAAUCCUCCUGUUGC
This is a ribosomal RNA of Brassica oleracea var. oleracea, 108 nucleotides long. Lineage: Eukaryota; Viridiplantae; Streptophyta; Magnoliopsida; Brassicales; Brassicaceae. The record is from Rfam.